CAGUUUUUUGGUUUCUAAAUUCUACUUCAAUAAAGCUAUUUUUAAAAAGAGGAAGAACGAUACAGGCUUGGGGGAAUCUUCGAGGCCUGGCUCCAGCUCCACCUCCCCCACUCCCAGGCCCCAAGCAGGCCGCUGGGUGGCAUCUGUAAAAUGGGUCUCUACCAGAGUUUUGCGAGGCUGCGAGCAUCCCAAGCAAGGUGUUGACAGCCGUGAGCUACAAAGCUUCUACCUGGAACCCCUCCUCUUCUCCCAGGCCUCAGGGCAGACACUCUGAGAAUUCUCCCUUGACCCCUGGAGGCCACGCCCCGGCACGUGUGUCUACCUGGAGCACCGCUGUCAUUUGCCUGGACACAUGUGAUCGAGAGGCCGUUUGCUCCCCUCACCCAUCCACCAUUACCCUGAGCGCCGCGGUGGAAUGGAGCACAUAGAAUCCACGUGGGACAGCCAGAGGGAUCCUGGCGGCACUGAUGGGAGCUGCUCAUCUAUCGUACGACAACUGCACGUGACUUACCCAUUCUGCGGUGGAGGAAUUCUACAAAGAGGCCCUUUGCCACUUGAUGUAUUGUUCCUUCAACUAUGGCACUGUCUACUUUCCCACCGCAGUGAUGUGCUACUGAGCUGCACGCUUCAGCCAAUGGAAUGGAAAAAGGGAUGUGUUGGACUGAUCUGGACCCGAGUAAGCCUGGGGCCAAGCUCCAGCCAGCCAGUCCCGUUAGGGUCAUGGCGGCUCGCACACCUAACGGCAAGGAGAGGAAAUGCUCGCACCGUUCUAGGAUUCUAUCAUCACUAGUGUUGAGUCUAAAAUCGUUCAACCGCGUUAAUCAUCAACUGUCUUUAUGAUGAGAUGCACAGCCACUAGAAUGGGGAAAAGAAAACCUACACACACGGGGAGCGAGAACUCCUGCUGGUUUCACAGCUCACAGCCAAAGCCUUUCAGAAGGUCAUGGAUGGAAUCCGCUCCGGCCUCCACCCUCCUGAGGCCCCUCUCCGUAAGAACUCAUAUAGCAGGGAAUUUAGCUGUGCAGUCAGCGUGGGUGGGUUCUAACCUUAGGCUCACCACUUCUCCUUGGGAAAGCCCCUUAGCCUCUCUCAGCCUCACUUGCUACAUCUGUAAAAUGAACAUAAAGCAAUUUGUCUUCUAGGAGAAUACAAUGGAGGUAGAGUUUUUAGCGCAUCCUCUUGUUCUUAUCCUUGUAUAAAAACCCUUUCCAGCUUGUCCAGUCUCAGGAAUGUUGAUGGCCUCUUUCCCUGAACACGCCACCCUGUAAGAUGAUGCAGGAUUGAGCUCAUAGAGAAAGGUGGAGACCACACGGGCACCACCCAGACGUAUGUGCCAGUGCCCACAACAGUGCCGAUGCAAACAGGCACCGAAUGAAUGAAUGUGCUUACUCACAGCACCAUCAAGUGUGCUCACAAG
Long non-coding RNA from Lepus europaeus (European hare), 1417 nucleotides. RefSeq lists it as uncharacterized. The record is from RefSeq and is a predicted model, not a curated record. Lineage: Eukaryota; Metazoa; Chordata; Mammalia; Lagomorpha; Leporidae. The transcript is spliced from 4 exons.